AUCCGUGAUGUGUGCGGUUACACACAUGAACCUCCCUGUUGGACUGCCCCGGCCCCUGUGCCGGGGUUUCUUU
Molecule: non-coding RNA, 73 nt
Organism: Roseovarius mucosus DSM 17069
Lineage: Bacteria; Pseudomonadati; Pseudomonadota; Alphaproteobacteria; Rhodobacterales; Roseobacteraceae
Source: Rfam